Mercenaria mercenaria is the source of this 1201-nucleotide long non-coding RNA. RefSeq lists it as uncharacterized. The transcript is spliced from 4 exons. NCBI's taxonomy places the organism in Eukaryota, Metazoa, Mollusca, Bivalvia, Venerida, Veneridae. The record is from RefSeq and is a predicted model, not a curated record.
AUGUGUCUGUCGAGCUAUUUAAUUUGUUUUGUUUGUUGUCUUAACCUCACUUUAUGAAUAGCAAAUCAAAUUUCCUUGAAUACGCCACACAUAUGAUGUUAUUUCUACUCUAGACUGGAUUGUUUUCAAAACAGGAAAUACACAUGUAAAGGAUUGCGUUAAAAUGACGUUUGUCCGCUUUGUGCAAAUAUGUCUGAUACUUCUUGCAGCAACCACCUGCAGCAUAACACAAAAUUCAAGAAAAUGUAAGGCUAUACACUGUGUCAGCUGGAAUUUUUCACACGUCCAGUGCAAGGUCCAAGAAAACAUCAGCACCAUAAAGCUUUUACAACAACAUUCUAUAAGCAAAUGCGUUAAUGGAAGGACUUUUGGUACAUUUGGAAGACACGUGUGGGUAAAGAGUGGCUGUCGAGGGACAUUUGAAAUUUGUUUUGGAGCUUAUAAACACCGACAUGCUCUGCACGAUUACUAUAAAGUUAUUCGAUAAAUUUAAGUCCAGAUUAAUGUUUUAGUAGCCUCAUUCAUUGCAAUGAUAUCGACAUGGAUUUUUGUGCAAAAUAUUUGACUUUAUUUGAGACAUUGACAUAUCUUAACGAAAUGUCUUAUAUAAUAAUGUUCUCAUUUAAAAUACAGAAAUAGUUGAGAGUUUCACAAAGUAUCUGAAGUCGAACGUGUUAAUAUGCUUCCAAUUAAGUAGUAACGCGAAAAGAAUCUAGAGCGGCCAUUAUCACUGACGCGAGUGGAAGCGAUGGCAUUUGAUACUGGAAAAACCAAGCAAGGUCACGUAAGCUUACGCCUUCUUAAACUGUGAGGUUCUAUUAUUCUUACACAGUGUUGUUAUUUUUUCUCGUCCUUUGGGAUCAUGGAGUCCAUUCAAUAACCGAGUCUGCUAUUACCUUGCUUGGUUGCAUUCGGUGCUUCUAAAGGAUCUUCUUAUAGAUUUUAUUAUUUUAAUGUGGGAGAGAAUUCGGCACUAUGAAAACAUUUCAAGUCUUUAUAUGUAUAUGAAAUGAUUGUUACAACGUAUAUUUAUGUAUCCAUAUCAAAAGCCAAGUUACUGUAUUAUACAACAAGUUGUUUGCCUGUCACUUUAUAUUCAAUUUGCCUUUACAUAAAGCGUUUAUUUCUUGAAAGCGCAUUAGAAUUAACAAAUAAAAUGCUUUUGUUAAUAACGGAAUCAAUAAAUAUAACAUCAAAGCAA